GAUGAACGCUAGCUACAGGCUUAACACAUGCAAGUCGAGGGGCAGCAUUGGAGUAGCAAUACUUCAGAUGGCGACCGGCGCACGGGUGAGUAACACGUAUCCAACCUGCCGCUUACUCGGGGAUAGCCUUUCGAAAGAAAGAUUAAUACCCGAUGGUAUAAAGAGUUCGCAUGUUCUCUUUAUUAAAGAAUUUCGGUAAGCGAUGGGGAUGCGUUCCAUUAGAUUGUUGGCGGGGUAACGGCCCACCAAGUCUACGAUGGAUAGGGGUUCUGAGAGGAAGGUCCCCCACAUUGGAACUGAGACACGGUCCAAACUCCUACGGGAGGCAGCAGUGAGGAAUAUUGGUCAAUGGACGAGAGUCUGAACCAGCCAAGUAGCGUGAAGGAUGACUGCCCUAUGGGUUGUAAACUUCUUUUAUAAGGGAAUAAAGUGAGGGACGUGUCCCUUUU
RNAcentral lists this ribosomal RNA (449 nucleotides) under Bacteroides sp. oral taxon C36. RNAcentral's name for it is "bacterial SSU rRNA". It matches the Rfam family "Bacterial small subunit ribosomal RNA", at positions 28 to 469 of the family's 1533-position model. Lineage: Bacteria; Pseudomonadati; Bacteroidota; Bacteroidia; Bacteroidales; Bacteroidaceae. The record is from RNAcentral.